RNAcentral lists this ribosomal RNA (473 nucleotides) under uncultured bacterium. Its description in RNAcentral is "bacterial SSU rRNA". It matches the Rfam family "Bacterial small subunit ribosomal RNA", at positions 28 to 545 of the family's 1533-position model. The record is from RNAcentral.
AGCGAACGCUGGCGGCAGGCUUAACACAUGCAAGUCGAGCGGGCCCUUUCGGGGGUCAGCGGCGGACGGGUGAGUAACACGUGGGAACGUACCCUUUGGUUCGGGACAACUCCUGGAAACGGGAGCUAAUACCGGAUACGCCCUUUUGGGGAAAGGUUUACUGCCGAAGGAUCGGCCCGCGUCUGAUUAGCUAGUUGGUGGGGUAACGGCCUACCAAGGCGACGAUCAGUAGCUGGUCUGAGAGGAUGAUCAGCCACACUGGGACUGAGACACGGCCCAGACUCCUACGGGAGGCAGCAGUGGGGAAUAUUGGACAAUGGGCGCAAGCCUGAUCCAGCCAUGCCGCGUGAGUGAUGAAGGCCUUAGGGUUGUAAAGCUCUUUUAUCCGGGACGAUAAUGACGGUACCGGAGGAAUAAGCCCCGGCUAACUUCGUGCCAGCAGCCGCGGUAAUACGAAGGGGGCUAGCGUUGCU